GCCACGUCAAUGAGAAGUCACACUGUCACUGGAGGAAGCCCACGUGCAGCAACGGGGACGAAACACAGCUAAAUAAGUUUCUUGGCAUUCCUCUCAGCAUGAAGCAGAUAGCUGCCUUCUUGAUGUGUCCUCACUACAAUCUUACCUCUGAG
Long non-coding RNA from Cervus elaphus (red deer), 152 nucleotides. RefSeq lists it as uncharacterized. The transcript has 3 exons. The record is from RefSeq and is a predicted model, not a curated record. Lineage: Eukaryota; Metazoa; Chordata; Mammalia; Artiodactyla; Cervidae.